Molecule: ribosomal RNA, 396 nt
Filed under: uncultured bacterium
Lineage: Bacteria
Description: partial 16S ribosomal RNA
Rfam family: Bacterial small subunit ribosomal RNA
Source: RNAcentral
AUACAGAGGGUGCAAGCGUUAAUCGGAUUUACUGGGCGUAAAGCGCGCGUAGGUGGCUAAUUAAGUCAAAUGUGAAAUCCCCGAGCUUAACUUGGGAAUUGCAUUCGAUACUGGUUAGCUAGAGUAUGGGAGAGGAUGGUAGAAUUCCAGGUGUAGCGGUGAAAUGCGUAGAGAUCUGGAGGAGUACCGAUGGCGAAGGCAGCCAUCUGGCCUAAUACUGACACUGAGGUGCGAAAGCAUGGGGAGCAAACAGGAUUAGAUACCCUGGUAGUCCAUGCCGUAAACGAUGUCUACUAGCCGUUGGGGCCCUUGAGGCUUUAGUGGCGCAGCUAACGCGAUAAGUAGACCGCCUGGGGAGUACGGUCGCAAGACUAAAACUCAAAUGAAUUGGCGGGG